GAUAAACGCUGGCGGCGCACAUAAGACAUGCAAGUUGAACGGACUUAAUCGAAAUAUUUAUAUUUUGAAGCGGUUAGUGGCGGACUGGUGAGUAACGCGUAAGGAACCUGCCUAUUAGAGGGGAAUAACAGUGAGAAAUCAUUGCUAAUACCGCAUAUGCCAUAGAUAUCACAUGAUAACAGAGGGAAAGGAGCAAUCCGCUAAUAGAUGGCCUUGCGUCUGAUUAGAUAGUUGGUGGGGUAACGGCCUACCAAGUCGACGAUCAGUAGCCGGACUGAGAGGUUGAACGGCCACAUUGGGACUGAGAUACGGCCCAGACUCCUACGGGAGGCAGCAGUCGGGAAUAUUGCGCAAUGGAGGAAACUCUGACGCAGUGACGCCGCGUAUAGGAAGAAGGUUUUCGGAUUGUAAACUAUUGUCGUUAGGGAAGAGAAAGGACAGUACCUAAGGAGGAAGCUCCGGCUAACUACGUG
RNAcentral lists this ribosomal RNA (473 nucleotides) under uncultured bacterium. RNAcentral's name for it is "partial 16S ribosomal RNA". It matches the Rfam family "Bacterial small subunit ribosomal RNA", at positions 28 to 507 of the family's 1533-position model. The record is from RNAcentral.